RNAcentral lists this ribosomal RNA (105 nucleotides) under Pteropus alecto (black flying fox). The record is from RNAcentral. Lineage: Eukaryota; Metazoa; Chordata; Mammalia; Chiroptera; Pteropodidae.
GUCUAUGGCCAUGCCACCCUGAAGCUGGAUGCCCGAAGCUACGCAGGGUUGGGCUGGUUAGUACUUGGAUGGGAGACCACCUAGGAAGACCAGGUGCUGUAGGCC